This 444-nucleotide small RNA is filed under the name Arabidopsis thaliana (thale cress). RNAcentral's name for it is "ATSL291010". The record is from RNAcentral. Lineage: Eukaryota; Viridiplantae; Streptophyta; Magnoliopsida; Brassicales; Brassicaceae.
UAUUCUUUAAUUUAUAUUUUUUGAUCGCUAAGUUGUUCGUUUGCAUGUCGCUGAUCCAGCGACCAAAAACAGUCGACUAAUCGCUGAAACCAGUAACUGAUCGCUAAAAAUUUCAGCGACCAAAAAUUGCGGUCGCUGGUCGUUGGCGACUGUCGCUACUUUUGGUCGCUGAACCAGCGACAAGCAAACGAACAACUUUUAGUCGCUGUCGCUGGUUUCAGUCGCCAGCGACAGGCAAACGAACAGGACCAUCGUCUAGAAAAACCUAUUUUGGGUUAAUUAAUAAUUAAUGUUCUAAAAUACAGUACAGUAUGCAUAACCGUAUUUAUGUUGUACUGUGAUAAAUCGUACUGCAUUUUCGCUAUACAAGUUUUUAUACGCUGGCAAUUGUAUAGUUGUAUAUACAACAUUGAUACGGUAAACACUAUAUUUUUAAAAUGAUUC